RNAcentral lists this transfer-messenger RNA (356 nucleotides) under Opitutaceae. RNAcentral describes it as "ER46 sp016794665 Standard tmRNA". It matches the Rfam family "transfer-messenger RNA". From Rfam's summary of the family: Bacterial tmRNA, also known as 10Sa RNA or SsrA, is named for its dual tRNA and mRNA-like properties. Its role is to liberate the mRNA from a stalled ribosome. The record is from RNAcentral. Lineage: Bacteria; Pseudomonadati; Verrucomicrobiota; Opitutia; Opitutales. RNAcentral also lists the same sequence under 1 other name.
GGGGGUGUUCUGGAUUCUACCCUUGGUUGGCGUGCGCCGCUGCCUGUCGAGAGUCGUGGGUCUCUCGUUAAAUCCCCUGCGAACAAAAUAAACGGCAAGACUGAAGAAAUGCCCUUGGCUGCUUAAUGACAGCCACGUUGGCCCCGCGACACCUGCUAGCGGGAGCCGACGUCGACAGCAGGCAUAGCGCGCGGAGCGGUCCGCGGACCGCGCGCCGUAUCUUCAAUCCGGGGAAUGGCCUGGGCCUCAGCGCGUGCGAUGGCGUGACCCGGGCGACGACAAAGUCGCACUAAACAUGGUAGACGCGGCGCGCAAAGGUCAGGGGCACGCGGGUUCAACUCCCGCCACCUCCAUGC